UAACCAACAAGAUUUCUUUUUAGCAAUUAUUAACCUUUUUUAUUAACAACUUCACUGAGUUAUAAUUCUCAUAAUAUGCCACACAAUUCACCCAUUUAAGGUGAGUGACGCAAUGGUUUUUAGUAUACUCACAGAUGUAGGCAACCACCACCUCUGCAACUUUAGGACAAUGUUAUCACCACAAAAGGAAAUCCUGUAUCAUUUAGCACCUCCUCACCCCUAAUUCCCUUAAUCCUAAAUGACUGUUAUCUAUUUCAGUGAUCUACUUAUGUUUCUAUAGAUUUGCAUCUUCUGGAUAUUUCAUAUAAAUGGAGUCAUAUAGCCUGCUGUUUGUUGUAUCCGGCUUCUUUCCCUUAUGAAAUUAUGAAAAUAUAAUAUUUUAAGAUUCACCAUGUGGUGGCUUAUAUCAGAGUUUCAGUCAUUCCUUUUAAAUUAGAAUAAUAUUUCAUUGUAUAGUGUUAACUCCUUUUAUUUUUCUGUUCAUCAGUUUAUAACCAUUUAGGUUGUUUCAUCUUUUAGUUAUUUUGAAUAAUGCUUUUGAAAACAUUCAGGCACAGGUUUAAGUUUGAGCACCUGUUUGUAAUUCUUUUGGGUGGAUACCUAAGAGUGGAAUUGCAGAGUCAUAAGAAGAAUAGUCAAACUGAUUUCCACAUCUCUUAACUCUUACUCCAAAAACGUAAUUUUAGAAAAUUGGAUAACAUUUCACACUCCAAAAUAAGGCAUCCCUGCUCAGUUUGAUUAAGUACACUGCUCAAGUCUCAAAGGCAUGUAAUACAGACAUGCAUUCAUUUGGAAUUAUUAUGCAUUUAUGCCAUCUUCUCAUCUGUUUUCUUUGUUAAAGGGUUUAUAGGGUGACCUUAACCAAAACAUUGUCUAGAAGCUUGUAUCUAAGGACAAAUAUAUUCUGUGUUAAAAUUAGUGUUUUAGGAGUUCCUGCUACAUUACAGUGGGUUAAUAAUCCAGCUUGUCUCUGUGGAGGCACCAGUUUGAUUCUCAGCCCAGGACAGUGGGGCAGUGGGUUAAGGAUCUGGCAUUGCUGCAGUCGUGGCAUAGGUCACAACUCUGGCUUGGAUUCAAACCCUAGCCUGGGAACUUCCACAUGCCAUGGGGGCAGCUGAAAAAGAAAAAAAUAGACAGAUAAAAUAAAAUUAGUGUCCUAGGAAAACGCAUCUUUCUGGUUGCCCACAGCACCUGGACCACCUGAUGAGGAAGGCUUACCCUCCCUGUCUCAUCCAGUAGCUUCAAAGGGCAUUUAACAUAUAACAAGGGACUCUACCAAUCCUGGAACUGCAAGGCUAAGUAGAAGGGACCCUUCUUGAUUUUUUUUUUCCUCAGUCUAAUAGGCUCCGGCUACCCAUCAAGCAAGUAUGUGGAAGUUUGUGGAGGGAUUUAGAUUCUGGAGGGAUUUCCAUUUCUCUUUCCUCCCCCUCUUGCAUGGAUCACAAAUCUUGCACAUAUCUAAGACUUCAUCAGGCAAGUGUUCAAUAGUCAAGGAGCAUCCUGACUCAAGCUGAAUUCCUUGGCUUGAGAUUAUUCUAGUGGGGAAAUUGGCCAAGCACAAAGUACCAAGUAAAGUCUCCAGCCAAAGCAACUCAGAGCAGCGCAGGCCUUGAGGCAUCACAGGAGUGACAAAGGAGCUCAAGGCCAAGGACAGAAGUAUAGUGAAAUCGUAAAUAAAGGAGUUCCCGUCGUGACCCAGUGAUUAAUGAAUCCUUGGCCUUGCUCAGUGGGUUAGGGAUCUGGCAUUGCCAUGGGCUCUGGGGUAGGUUGCAGAUGCAGCUCAGAUCCCAUGUUGCUGUGGCUGUGGCAUAGGCCGGUGGCUAUAGCUCCAAUUGGACCCCUAGCCUGGGAACCUCCAUGUGCGGCAAAUGUGGCCCUAGAAAAGACAAAAAAAAAGUAAUUAAUUAAUUAGUUUAAUUAAUUAAAUAAAGGCUUUGAGUUUGUAAAAAUAAAAAAUAGGUUGUGAGUUAGAAUGCAUGUUGGGUCAGGGUAUAUGGAUUAAGACAGAGAUUAUUAUUAGGGCCUCCGUGGGGACUCACUGUUACAAUGGCUCUUUAUGCUGACCCAUGAGACUGACCACCUUGCUCAAGUAACAUCCUGUUUUUGCUGCUGGUGCCUACUUUCCCAAGACUACAAGACCUGCCCUCCUGUGGGACACUACAUACCUCCAGCUUUCUCAAGAUUACGAGACCACCCUACCAUGAGACACCUCCGACUUUCUCAUGACUACAUGACCACCAGAGUUCAGCUGCAGGAGAAAGAUAAACUAACCUUCCCCCACUUUAGGGAAUCAAUUUCCCAUCUGUCAGGUAUAAGAAGGCCCCACCAGAAGGGUGGGGGACUGGCUUUUUCCAAGGGUCAGUCACCCUCUCCUUUUCCUUCUAAAUUUUCUUCUCUUUGCCUGAACACCCAGCUUGUUUUCUUUUUUCCACAUUUGCCUUACAGCUAUAAAUACUAGGGUGUCUGUGGUAGGCAGCAUUCUAUGGUUGUUCCCCUAAAUCCCUAUCCUCGGGCUUACAUGCCUUGUAUAAUUUUCUCCUGGAGUACAGUCAGAAUCUGUGACUAUGAUGAGAUAUCAAUCUUAUGAUUGGCAAAGGUGAAGGGCUUUUACAAGUACAAUUAAAGUCCCUAAUCAGUUGGUUUUGAGUUAAUUAAAAGGGAAAUUACCAUGAGUGAGCCAGACCUAAUCAAGUGAAGCCUUGAGGCUAGCCUUGAAGAAGUAAGCUGCUUUGUUGUGGAAGGCCAAUGGAAGAAGCCAUUGAGGGAUGGAAAGCCACCUCUAGGAGCUGAAAGUGACCUCUGACCAAUAGCUUGGAAGAGAAUGGGAAUCUUAGUUAUACAGCUGUAAGAAUGAAUUCUACCAACGACCUGGGGGAGCUUGGAAAUAUAUUUUCUGACUUGAACCUCCAGCUGAGGAUGCAGCCAUCAAGACCUUUAUUUCAGCCAUGUGAGGCACUGAGCAAGGAAACAAACUAAAAUGUGCCAGAUCCCUGACCCACUGGAACUGUGAGAUAAUAAAUUAAUAUUGUGAUAAGCUGCUCAAUUUGUGGCAAUUUUUUAGGUGGCAAUAGAAAACUAAUACCGUGCCAAAGGCCACAGUGUGUGUGUGCAUGCACACUGUGUGACUUCAGAAAACAUGGUGGCUUUGAAACAUUGGCAGGCAUACUUUGCAGUUUCCCCACUAGAAUAAUCUCUCCAUAUUUACUUGCUAUUUUCCCAUAUGUCUUUUGUGCAGUUAUCCUUGACUUGAGUUUUAUGUCUAAAUUGCUCUUUUCCUGCUUAUUUUAUAUGCACACCUUCGAUAGUUAAAUUUAAUAAAUGUUUUUUGUUCGCAUCGUGAUGAUGAUGCAAAGAUCUACACAAAGGAUUUGCACGUUAAUGUCUUUGGUACUCAUAAGUGGAGUUCUAAAACCCUAAACACUUACAAACACUUUUCUGUUCUGAAUCCCAAGUUGCACUUACAAGCAGAAUAAGGAAGAGAAGAAAUUAGAGACCUGCUACAGUGAGAUUUAAAGUUCCUAGGGGAGAGGUAAACCUAACAGAAAACCGGCAGUGUGUGUGUGUAAUCACACAGACCAUUGAGAUGUGGGUGUUACUGUUUAGUUAGCCCCGGAAUUAUAUAGAGGCCUUAAGCAAUUCUGUUUUGGUGAUUUCAGAGCACAGAGUUGUCUAUAUCUGUAUCAUGGGAUGUGGUUUGAAUAAAAAUACACUGCAAGAGCGACUCGAAACUCUCCAUUGCAUGGCAGUGCAAGCACCAAAGUCUCCCAUUUCAUACAAAGACAGAUGGACAACAAGUGUCCUUCUGUUCUUUGUACAGAGCUCAAAAUGAAUGGGAUUUAUCAGGAGUUUACUCUAAUCCCUCUUCUUAAGGGCCUCUGGCUGUUAGUUUUGGCUGGCAAGAGAAGGGAACCAGAUGCUUAAAUGCCCAAAGGCAGAGUUCCUAGGUUAAAAAAAGUUUUUAAAUGAGUUCUUGUAUUUGCCUAUGGCCUUCUAAGCAUAAACAUUUCUAAUUGAUAUCAGUGGACUUGGAUUAUGAAUUAAUCUAAACAGUCAGCUCUUGCUUCUCCAAACAAAACCAGAAAGUGUCAACUAAAUCUUUAGUAAUAGGUGUAUCUGCGCUUGUUAUCCUGGAGAAUAAAGCCAGUAUCAAAAUUUCUAAAUAACACUGAUAAAAAUGUGUUCACGAAGUAGACUAUUUUCAUUUUUAAAUUCUUAUAAAAUGCACUCCCUCCUGGCAUAGACCAUCCUGCAUGAACAUACUUGCAAAGCCUCCAGCUGUUCCUCUUCAUUUUCCCCCCAUCAAUUCCAACUAUCAUCUUAAAAAGGCACAAUAGGAUUUUCCCAAAUAAUCACCAACACAUGAUGAAAUUACUUCUCCUGAUCUAAGAACUCCAGCAAAGAAUUUGUAGGAGAUUACGAUCUCAUUUUCAAAUAGUGCCCUAUUCAGAUGUAACUACAACCACCCUACAGUUAGAGAAAUAAUUUCUUGUUGCUACACUUCAGGAGGUCUCCUGUUAUCUUAACAACUGUCAUGAAAUUCUAAAAGAUAAAUUAAUUUACAUUUGCUCU
Molecule: long non-coding RNA, 4569 nt
Filed under: Sus scrofa (pig)
Lineage: Eukaryota; Metazoa; Chordata; Mammalia; Artiodactyla; Suidae
Description: lncRNA (ENSSSCG00000055742.1)
Source: RNAcentral